Long non-coding RNA from Ornithodoros turicata, 619 nucleotides. RefSeq lists it as uncharacterized. The transcript is spliced from 2 exons. NCBI's taxonomy places the organism in Eukaryota, Metazoa, Arthropoda, Arachnida, Ixodida, Argasidae. The record is from RefSeq and is a predicted model, not a curated record.
ACGGACCUGCCCAGACAGACACUUAUGGCAUAGCAAUCAACUUCCGCAACGUCAAACUGACGAAUGGCCACCAUGGUCGUAGUGAAUUUCAGGAGUCGGUCUGAGGCAGAUAUAUAUCGCUAUUUUUCUUUUCUUUUUUUUUUCAGCACUUAUGUGUGUUUCCGUGGUCGGUUCGAUGCGGAUUCAUGUGUUUUGCUUGUCGUUUGGUAUUCUCUUUCUUGCUCCACCAGGCAACCCCGGUUUCACCGCGCAACCUCAACAGAGCAUUGCCAUCGGAUCCGCAUCAUCAGAGGACGAGCAAGAGCGUGCCUUUGACGGAUUCGCUGAGUUCGCAAGAAGCCUGCAAGGAGCGGGAUUAGCUUUCGCUGAUGAACUUGCUCUACAAAGGAGUACUCUUCCUUGCACUUCUGAUGGCGACUUGGAGCGGUGGGUCUGGAGCAAGUACCUGUAUCAGCUACAGUUUUAUUCGUACCGCCUAUAUUGAGUGUUCAAUGUGUUUAUCCUGUACGCAAAGGACUCAUAUUCUACACCGUAGUCUCUAGCUUGCUUUCAAAGCUGAACUGAGCUCAUAAUACUGGUUGCCCUUGGCCUACGAGAAUUAUAUAUACUGUGAAACUCU